RNAcentral lists this ribosomal RNA (253 nucleotides) under uncultured bacterium. RNAcentral describes it as "partial 16S ribosomal RNA". It matches the Rfam family "Bacterial small subunit ribosomal RNA", at positions 524 to 776 of the family's 1533-position model. The record is from RNAcentral.
GACAUAGGUUGCAAACGUUAUCCGGAAUUAUUGGGCGUAAAGAGCUCGUAGGCGGUUUGUUACGUCCGCUGUGAAAACCCAGGGCUUAACCCUGGGCUUGCAGUGGAUACGGGCAGACUAGAGGUAGGUAGGGGAGAAUGGAAUUCCCGGUGUAGCGGUGAAAUGCGCAGAUAUCGGGAGGAACACCGGUGGCGAAGGCGGUUCUCUGGGCCUUACCUGACGCUGAGGAGCGAAAGCGUGGGGAGCGAACAGG